AGCAACACAGCACAACUGGGUAGAGGAACUAAAGGAAAAAAGAAACAGGGAGCACAUACAGUCGUUAAACAUCAAAGAUCAUUUUCGGGGUCAGAAAGAGAACAUUUUGUGAGCAUCCCUUAACUCAUGACUCUGCAGAUCUCGGACUCUGAUUACCCAUCUUGGCUCGGUGCUUUGCCUUUGCUCUUUUUCCAUCAGUCUGGCAGCUCCAUGUCUUUGGCAAGGAGAAGAGUUUGCAUCACUCCUCUAACUGAACUAAUCAAAGGAAUAGACACAGCCGGCAGGAAAAGCACAAGGGCACCAGGCCUUCUUCUCCUCCCUGCUGUUGCUCCAAACUCCAUCUCUGUGGAAGCACAACACGGAUAUUGUCUCAGCUUUGUUUUCCCUCAGCUGUCCGAGGAAGCUCCUGGUGGACCCACCUAUGGUGCUCUCAGGUCUGGUGCCCUGCAGACUAACAUAUGAGAGGAGCUUUCUGCACAUGAGCGCAACACAAACAUCACGACCCUGCCUGCAGCGUCUCAAUUUCCUCUGAUUCAGAGACGUGAAUUGAUGGAGGGGCUGCAGAGUCAUGGUGAUUUAAGCUGUUCUAGAUCUGGAGGAUUAUUUGCAGCACAUGUCAUGAUGUUAUCCCCGACACCCUCAACUCACGUUCUCUAUGCCCGCAUCUUCUGUCUCCAGGCAUUUUUCACUUGUUUAGUGUUGUGAAGGGCAAG
Molecule: long non-coding RNA, 713 nt
Organism: Eleginops maclovinus (Patagonian blennie)
Lineage: Eukaryota; Metazoa; Chordata; Actinopteri; Perciformes; Eleginopidae
Exons: 3
Source: RefSeq, a predicted model, not a curated record